UGGGGAAUAUUGCACAAUGGGCGAAAGCCUGAUGCAGCAACGCCGCGUGAGUGAUGAAGGCCUUCGGGUUGUAAAGCUCUGUCUUUUGGGACGAUAAUGACGGUACCAAAGGAGGAAGCCACGGCUAACUACGUGCCAGCAGCCGCGGUAAUACGUAGGUGGCAAGCGUUGUCCGGAUUUUACUGGGCGUAAAGGAUGCGUAGGCGGAUUUUUAAGUGAGAUGUGAAAUACCCGGGCUUAACUUGGGUGCUGCAUUUCAAACUGGGAAUCUAGAGUGCGGGAGAGGAGAAUGGAAUUCCUAGUGUAGCGGUGAAAUGCGUAGAGAUUAGGAAGAACACCAGUGGCGAAGGCGAUUCUCUGGACCGUAACUGACGCUGAGGCAUGAAAGCGUGGGUAGCAAACAGGAUUAGAUACCCUGGUAGUCCACGCCGUAAACGAUGAGUACUAGGUGUAGGAGGUAUCGACCCCUUCUGUGCCGCAGUUAACACAAUAAGUACUCCGCCUGGGAAGUACGAUCGCAAGAUUAAAAAC
RNAcentral lists this ribosomal RNA (531 nucleotides) under uncultured bacterium. RNAcentral's name for it is "partial 16S ribosomal RNA". It matches the Rfam family "Bacterial small subunit ribosomal RNA", at positions 355 to 900 of the family's 1533-position model. The record is from RNAcentral.